GGGAAUGUGGCCGAGUGGUUAUGGCGCCAGAUUCAAGCGAUCAAAAGCUUCUCAAGUUCAUUGAGUUUCCUGGUAACGUAAGUUGCGCGGGUUCGAAUCCCGCCGUUCUCA
RNAcentral lists this transfer RNA (111 nucleotides) under Aureobasidium melanogenum CBS 110374. It matches the Rfam family "tRNA". Rfam says of the family: Transfer RNA (tRNA) molecules are approximately 80 nucleotides in length. Their secondary structure includes four short double-helical elements and three loops (D, anti-codon, and T loops). Further hydrogen bonds mediate the characteristic L-shaped molecular structure. tRNAs have two regions of fundamental functional importance: the anti-codon, which is responsible for specific mRNA codon recognition, and the 3' end, to which the tRNAs corresponding amino acid is attached (by aminoacyl-tRNA synthetases). tRNAs cope with the degeneracy of the genetic code in two manners: having more than one tRNA (with a specific anti-codon) for a particular amino acid; and 'wobble' base-pairing, i.e. permitting non-standard base-pairing at the 3rd anti-codon position. The record is from Rfam by way of RNAcentral. Lineage: Eukaryota; Fungi; Ascomycota; Dothideomycetes; Dothideales; Saccotheciaceae.